GCAUCGGGAAGAGGGAAAAGGAGCAAUCCGCUUUGAGAUGGCCUCGCGUCCGAUUAGCUAGUUGGUGAGGUAACGGCCCACCAAGGCGACGAUCGGUAGCCGGACUGAGAGGUUGAACGGCCACAUUGGGACUGAGACACGGCCCAGACUCCUACGGGAGGCAGCAGUGGGGAAUAUUGCACAAUGGGGGAAACCCUGAUGCAGCGACGCCGCGUGGAGGAAGAAGGUCUUCGGAUUGUAAACUCCUGUUGUUGAGGAAGAUAAUGACGGUACUCAACAAGGAAGUGACGGCUAACUACGUGCCAGCAGCCGCGGUAAAACGUAGGUCACAAGCGUUGUCCGGAAUUACUGGGUGUAAAGGGAGCGCAGGCGGGCGAUCAAGUUGGAAGUGAAAUCCAUGGGCUCAACCCAUGAACUGCUUUCAAAACUGGUCGUCUUGAGUAGUGCAGAGGUAGGCGGAAUUCCCGGUGUAGCGGUGGAAUGCGUAGAUAUCGGGAGGAACACCAGUGGCGAAGGCGGCCUACUGGGCACCAACUGACGCUGAGGCUCGAAAGUGUGGGUAGCAAACAGGAUUAGAUACCCUGGUAGUCCACACCGUAAACGAUGAUUACUAGGUGUUGGAGGAUUGACCC
Molecule: ribosomal RNA, 632 nt
Filed under: uncultured bacterium
Lineage: Bacteria
Description: bacterial SSU rRNA
Rfam family: Bacterial small subunit ribosomal RNA
Source: RNAcentral